Molecule: transfer RNA, 72 nt
Filed under: Prunus dulcis (almond)
Lineage: Eukaryota; Viridiplantae; Streptophyta; Magnoliopsida; Rosales; Rosaceae
Description: tRNA-Val
Source: RNAcentral
CGAUUUUCCCGAUCUAAAUAAAGUAGGUUUUACAUGAAGAAGAUUUGGCUCAGCAUGUUCUAUUCUAUACGG